This is a long non-coding RNA of Lolium rigidum, 946 nucleotides long. RefSeq lists it as uncharacterized. NCBI's taxonomy places the organism in Eukaryota, Viridiplantae, Streptophyta, Magnoliopsida, Poales, Poaceae. The record is from RefSeq and is a predicted model, not a curated record. The transcript is spliced from 3 exons.
AUUGCAUCGGGUCACCUGGUGCAGGUUGCAGCCUGGAACAGCUUGUACCCCCGAUUGGUCAGGCCCAUCAUGUAUUCGAAUCAUCCUGUACCAAAAUCCUACUGCCAGCGUCAUUCCCCAAUCUCUUUGAGCUCGACGGAGAUAGCGAGGUGAUUUCGUCUGCGGCGGCGCUCCUUCCACGCUGGAGCGAGGCCAAGCGCCCGGCGAAGAAUUGAGCAAAUUCUCCCUCUGCAAAGCUCACGGGCACCGAGUUCUUCGGAGAUCUGGUGCCAAGUUUGAAACGUCUCGCGGAAAUACGCAGCGGCGGGGAGGAGGUAGAGGCAGUCGUUGGGUGUUCAACCAUGGUGCCGGAGAUAGCCACAGCGCUGAAUCAAAAGGCUCGGGCAAACGGGCUACCUGCAGAGGCGUCCCCGACAAGGUGCUUGAUGCAGAUAGAUCCGUCAAUGGAGGCGAAAAUGGGGGAACGGCUGUCAUCUCUUGAUGGAAAACGAAGGGUCAUCCAAGUCCUAUGGAUGAUAUUCAACCAGCUGUAAAAAGUGCCUUGACGAAGGCUUACAAGCAAGGAACUAGUUAUCCGAUCAGCAGAUCAAAUAAAUAUCUCAGGCAGGAAACACAAACUUUAAAGAAACGAGUGGCGACACUCCUGGAGCCAUUUGAUGAGAGUUUGCCUGACAAAAGUGGAGUAGCAUCAGCUAAAAGUGUUGAAGAAGAAGCUUUUGAUGCUGAAAAUGAUGGUAUGUGCUUUCUUAGUCAAUAAAUACAAUCAGACAAGGGUUUUAAGUGAAGGAUAAACAUAAUGCAGAAAUAGAAUUGUUGGAGGUUAACACUUCUAUGAAUUGAAUAAUCUGCUUGGUCAGGGAUGAGUUUCUAUCUUAAUAUACAUUUAUUCUGUUCUUUAAUCUGUAACAUGCCAUGUAGGCCUUUAGCUGGGGACAUAUCAGGUGAA